Molecule: ribosomal RNA, 485 nt
Filed under: uncultured bacterium
Lineage: Bacteria
Description: bacterial SSU rRNA
Rfam family: Bacterial small subunit ribosomal RNA
Source: RNAcentral
CUACGUGCCAGCAGCCGCGGUAAUACGGAGGGUGCGAGCGUUAAUCGGAAUAACUGGGCGUAAAGGGCACGCAGGCGGUGACUUAAGUGAGGUGUGAAAGCCCCGGGCUUAACCUGGGAAUUGCAUUUCAUACUGGGUCGCUAGAGUACUUUAGGGAGGGGUAGAAUUCCACGUGUAGCGGUGAAAUGCGUAGAGAUGUGGAGGAAUACCGAAGGCGAAGGCAGCCCCUUGGGAAUGUACUGACGCUCAUGUGCGAAAGCGUGGGGAGCAAACAGGAUUAGAUACCCUGGUAGUCCACGCUGUAAACGAUGUCGAUUUGGGGGUUGAGCUUUAAGUUUGGCGCCCGUAGCUAACGUGAUAAAUCGACCGCCUGGGGAGUACGGCCGCAAGGUUAAAACUCAAAGAAAUUGACGGGGGCCCGCACAAGCGGCGGAGCAUGCGGAUUAAUUCGAUGCAACGCGAAGAACCUUACCAAGGCUUGACAU